CCUACGGGAGGCAGCAGUGGGGAAUAUUGGACAAUGGGCGAAAGCCUGAUCCAGCCAUGCCGCGUGUGUGAAGAAGGCCUUCGGGUUGUAAAGCACUUUCAGUGGGGAAGAAAGCCUUGGGGCUAAUACCCUCGAGGAAGGACAUCACCCACAGAAUAAGCACCGGCUAACUCCGUGCCAGCAGCCGCGGUAAUACGGAGGGUGCGAGCGUUAAUCGGAAUUACUGGGCGUAAAGCGCGCGUAGGCGGUCUGAUAAGCCGGUUGUGAAAGCCCCGGGCUCAACCUGGGAACGGCAUCCGGAACUGUCAGGCUAGAGUGCAGGAGAGGAAGGUAGAAUUCCCGGUGUAGCGGUGAAAUGCGUAGAGAUCGGGAGGAAUACCAGUGGCGAAGGCGGCCUGCUGGACUGACACUGACGCUGAGGUGCGAAAGCGUGGGUAGCAAACAGGAUUAGAUACCCCUGUAGUC
RNAcentral lists this ribosomal RNA (465 nucleotides) under Vreelandella stevensii. Its description in RNAcentral is "partial 16S ribosomal RNA". It matches the Rfam family "Bacterial small subunit ribosomal RNA", at positions 338 to 795 of the family's 1533-position model. Lineage: Bacteria; Pseudomonadati; Pseudomonadota; Gammaproteobacteria; Oceanospirillales; Halomonadaceae. The record is from RNAcentral.